CAGUCGCCACGGGAAUACGGAGGGGGCUAGCGUUGUUCGGAAUUACUGGGCGUAAAGCGCACGUAGGCGGCUUUUUAAGUCAGAGGUGAAAGCCCGGGGCUCAACUCCGGAACUGCCUUUGAGACUGGAAGGCUUGAACGUCGGAGAGGUGAGUGGAAUUCCGAGUGUAGAGGUGAAAUUCGUAGAUAUUCGGAAGAACACCAGUGGCGAAGGCGGCUCACUGGACGACUGUUGACGCUGAGGUGCGAAAGCGUGGGGAGCAAACAGGAUUAGAUACCCCAGUAGUCCCUGUCUCUUAUAC
RNAcentral lists this ribosomal RNA (301 nucleotides) under uncultured bacterium. Its description in RNAcentral is "partial 16S ribosomal RNA". It matches the Rfam family "Bacterial small subunit ribosomal RNA", at positions 509 to 807 of the family's 1533-position model. The record is from RNAcentral.